Molecule: ribosomal RNA, 497 nt
Filed under: uncultured bacterium
Lineage: Bacteria
Description: partial 16S ribosomal RNA
Rfam family: Bacterial small subunit ribosomal RNA
Source: RNAcentral
GAUGAACGCUGGCGGCGUGCCUAAUACAUGCCAGUCGAGCGAACGGACGAGAAGCUUGCUUCUCUGAUGUUAGCGGCGGACGGGUGAGUAACACGUGGAUAACCUACCUAUAAGACUGGGAUAACUUCGGGAAACCGGAGCUAAUACCGGAUAAUAUUUUGAACCGCAUGGUUCAAAAGUGAAAGACGGUCUUGCUGUCACUUAUAGAUGGAUCCGCGCUGCAUUAGCUAGUUGGUAGGGUAACGGCUUACCAAGGCAACGAUGCAUAGCCGACCUGAGAGGGUGAUCGGCCACACUGGAACUGAGACACGGUCCAGACUCCUACGGGAGGCAGCAGUAGGGAAUCUUCCGCAAUGGGCGAAAGCCUGACGGAGCAACGCCGCGUGAGUGAUGAAGGUCUUCGGAUCGUAAAACUCUGUUAUUAGGGAAGAACAUAUGUGUAAGUAACUGUGCACAUCUUGACGGUACCUAAUCAGAAAGCCACGGCUAACUACGUG